UUAAAAGCAAUGAAAAGAAGAGUAAAUAAAAUAAUUCAUUUUCAGAGAGCUCUAGAUGGUGGGAUUGAGCAAUGGAUUUUUAUUGAAGAAGGUCUUGGAGCUGCACACUGAGUCUAUUUUAUCCGAUAGCUAGUAAUCCGUGAUACUUUCUCACAUAUAGGUGGAAGAUAAUGGCUACAAGCUUUUGGACAGGAUACCCAUUGAGGGUAUAAGUUAAACUAGAAUUCAGAUGGGAAUGAAAACCCAGCAUGAAUCAAGUUUCACUUAAUAGAGGUAGGAUGUGACGGAAUACCCCGUUAUAGGUAUAGAGUAUCUCGUUUUUUGAUGUACUUGAAGAGGUGUAUACGGCAACGCAUACAUAAACUGAGGUGGUACCACGAAUUUAUAACUUUCGUCCUCAAG
RNAcentral lists this non-coding RNA (402 nucleotides) under Clostridium beijerinckii. RNAcentral describes it as "T-box sequence". It matches the Rfam family "T-box leader". From Rfam's summary of the family: Uncharged tRNA acts as the effector for transcription antitermination of genes in the T-box leader family. T-boxes are found upstream of many aminoacyl-tRNA synthetase genes and some amino acid biosynthetic genes usually in Gram-positive bacteria. Lineage: Bacteria; Bacillati; Bacillota; Clostridia; Eubacteriales; Clostridiaceae. The record is from RNAcentral.